GUCAUUUCGGCAGCACAGAUAGUACAAUUGGAAUGACACAGAGGAGGUUAGCAUGACCCCUGAAAAGGAUGACACACAAAUUUGUGUGAAGUAUUUCCAUUUG
This 103-nucleotide small nuclear RNA is filed under the name Castor canadensis (American beaver). The record is from RNAcentral. Lineage: Eukaryota; Metazoa; Chordata; Mammalia; Rodentia; Castoridae.